Gossypium raimondii (Peruvian cotton) is the source of this 87-nucleotide non-coding RNA. Lineage: Eukaryota; Viridiplantae; Streptophyta; Magnoliopsida; Malvales; Malvaceae. The record is from Rfam.
CACGUCAGAGCGCUAUGCUGACGUGGCAACAAAUCGUGCUCUCAAGGCCGCGCUUUGUUGCUACGUCAGAAUAGCGCUCUGACAUGG